UACGUAGGGGGCAAGCGUUGUCCGGAAUCAUUGGGCGUAAAGAGCGUGUAGGCGGUUCGGUAAGUCCGCUGUGAAAGUCCAGGGCUCAACCCUGGAAUGCCGGUGGAUACUGCCGGGCUAGAGUCCGGAAGAGGCGAGUGGAAUUCCCGGUGUAGCGGUGAAAUGCGCAGAUAUCAGGAGGAACACCGAUGGCGAAGGCAGCUCGCUGGGACGGUACUGACGCUGAGACGCGAAAGCGUGGGGAGCAAACAGG
This 253-nucleotide ribosomal RNA is filed under the name uncultured bacterium. RNAcentral's name for it is "partial 16S ribosomal RNA". It matches the Rfam family "Bacterial small subunit ribosomal RNA", at positions 524 to 776 of the family's 1533-position model. The record is from RNAcentral.